AACGAACGCUGGCGGCAUGCCUAACACAUGCAAGUCGAACGAGACCUUCGGGUCUAGUGGCGCACGGGUGCGUAACGCGUGGGAAUCUACCCUUGGGUUCGGAAUAACAGUUAGAAAUGACUGCUAAUACCGGAUGAUGACGUAAGUCCAAAGAUUUAUCGCCCAAGGAUGAGCCCGCGUAAGAUUAGCUUGUUGGUGGGGUAAUGGCCUACCAAGGCGACGAUCUUUAGCUGGUCUGAGAGGAUGAUCAGCCACACUGGGACUGAGACACGGCCCAGACUCCUCCGGGAGGAAGCAGUGGGGAAUAUUGGACAAUGGGCGAAAGCCUGAUCCAGCAAUGCCGCGUGAGUGAUGAAGGCCUUAGGGUUGUAAAGCUCUUUUACCAGGGAUGAUAAUGACAGUACCUGGAGAAUAAGCUCCGGCUAACUCCGUGCCAGCCGCCGCAGUAA
This 449-nucleotide ribosomal RNA is filed under the name uncultured bacterium. RNAcentral describes it as "partial 16S ribosomal RNA". It matches the Rfam family "Bacterial small subunit ribosomal RNA", at positions 29 to 523 of the family's 1533-position model. The record is from RNAcentral.